AGUGGCGAACGGGUGAGUAAAGUAUCGGAACGUGCCCAGUCGUGGGGGAUAACGUAGCGAAAGUUACGCUAAUACCGCAUACGAUCUAUGGAUGAAAGCGGGGGAUCGCAAGACCUCGCGCGAUUGGAGCGGCCGAUAUCAGAUUAGGUAGUUGGUGGGGUGAAGGCUCACCAAGCCGACGAUCUGUAGCUGGUCUGAGAGGACGACCAGCCACACUGGGACUGAGACACGGCCCAGACUCCUACGGGAGGCAGCAGUGGGGAAUUUUGGACAAUGGGCGCAAGCCUGAUCCAGCCAUGCCGCGUGCAGGAUGAAGGCCUUCGGGUUGUAAACUGCUUUUGUACGGAACGAAAAGGUUUGGCCUAAUAAGCUGAGCUCAUGACGGUACCGUAAGAAUAAGCACCGGCUAACUACGUGCCAGCAGCCGCGGUAAUACGUAGGGUGCGAGCGUUAAUCGGAAUUACUGGGCGUAAAGCGUGCGCAGGCGGUUAUGUAAGACAGAUGUGAAAUCCCCGGGCUCAACCUGGGAACUGCAUUAGUGACUGCAUAGCUGGAGUACGGCAGAGGGGGAUGGAAUUCCGCGUGUAGCAGUGAAAUGCGUAGAUAUGCGGAGGAACACCGAUGGCGAAGGCAAUCCCCUGGGCCUGUACUGACGCUCAUGCACGAAAGCGUGGGG
Molecule: ribosomal RNA, 676 nt
Filed under: uncultured Curvibacter sp.
Lineage: Bacteria; Pseudomonadati; Pseudomonadota; Betaproteobacteria; Burkholderiales; Comamonadaceae
Description: bacterial SSU rRNA
Rfam family: Bacterial small subunit ribosomal RNA
Source: RNAcentral